Molecule: ribosomal RNA, 446 nt
Filed under: uncultured bacterium
Lineage: Bacteria
Description: partial 16S ribosomal RNA
Rfam family: Bacterial small subunit ribosomal RNA
Source: RNAcentral
CCUACGGGCGACUGCAGUCGAGAAUCAUUCACAAUGGGGGAAACCCUGAUGGUGCGACGCCGCGUGGGGGAAUGAAGGUCUUCGGAUUGUAAACCCCUGUCAUGUGGGAGCAAAUUAAAAAGAUAGUACCACAAGAGGAAGAGACGGCUAACUCUGUGCCAGCAGCCGCGGUAAUACAGAGGUCUCAAGCGUUGUUCGGAAUCACUGGGCGUAAAGCGUGCGUAGGCUGUUUCGUAAGUCGUGUGUGAAAGGCGCGGGCUCAACCCGCGGACGGCACAUGAUACUGCGAGACUAGAGUAAUGGAGGGGGAACCGGAAUUCUCGGUGUAGCAGUGAAAUGCGUAGAUAUCGAGAGGAACACUCGUGGCGAAGGCGGGUUGCUGGACAUUAACUGACGCUGAGGCACGAAGGCCAGGGGAGCGAAAGGGAUUAGAUACCCCGGUAGUC